RNAcentral lists this long non-coding RNA (765 nucleotides) under Mytilus galloprovincialis (Mediterranean mussel). The record is from RNAcentral. Lineage: Eukaryota; Metazoa; Mollusca; Bivalvia; Mytilida; Mytilidae.
GGCCGAGUUACCAGACAAAUUUGUAUAACAAGAUACCCCAAUGAUGAUUGUGGCCAAGUUUGGUUUAAUUUUGCCCAGUAGUUUCAGAGGAGAAGAUUUUUCUAAAAGAUGACUAAGAUUUACGAAAAAUGGUUAAAAAUUGACUAUAAAGGGCAAUAACUCCUAAAGGGGUCAACUGACCAUUUUAGUCAUGUUGACUUAUUUGUAAAUCUUACUUUGCUGAACAUUAUUGCUGUUUACAGUUUAUCUCUAUCUAUAAUAAUAUUCAAGAUAAUAACCAACUAGAGGCUCUAAAGAGCCUGUGUCGCUCACCUUGGUCUAUGUGAAUAUUAAACAAUGGACACAAAUGGAUUCAUGACAAAAUUGUGUUUUGGUGAUGGUGAUGUGUUUGUAGAUCUUACUUUACUAAACAUUGUUGCUGCUUACAAUUAUCUCUAUCUAUAACAGUACUUUCUGUGGAAAAUGUUAUUGAAAAUCUUCAAAUUUUAAGAAAAUUGUUAAAAAUUGACUAUGAAGGGCAAUAACUCCUUAGGGGGUCAAUUGAUUAUUUUGGUCAUACUGACUUAUUUUUAGUUCUUACUUUGCUGUACAUUAUUGCUGUUUACAGUUUAUCUCUAUCUAUAAUAAUAUUCAAGAUAAUAACAAAAAAAACAGCAAAAUUUCCUCAAAAUUACCAAUUCAGGGGCAGCAACCUAACAACCGAUUAUCCGAUUCAUCUGAAAAUUUCAGGGCAGAUAGAUCGUGACCUGAUCAACAAUUUUACUU